Non-coding RNA from Pelobates cultripes (western spadefoot toad), 207 nucleotides. The record is from the annotation of a GenBank genome assembly. NCBI's taxonomy places the organism in Eukaryota, Metazoa, Chordata, Amphibia, Anura, Pelobatidae.
CGCACUGACUCUUCCAGCUUCAGAGAUCACAAGACCUCUACCACAUGGUUUGCUGCGCUGCAGACCGGAGAUUUAGCACACCGGACAUCCAGGGAGGGAGACCACUGGACCCACCACAUAAUGGAUUACUGCAAAUAAAAAAUAGUAUUUUGUGGAAGGAUGAUCACAUUGUCACUCACCUGACACACUGUCACCCACACAGUCAAC